ACGCUCAUUCAGUUCCCACCUCUCUCCUGUUGACUGUUGGUGGUGGUUCUUUGUUCCGUGCUUCUUUGUUAAUUUGGCCUAAUUGUAAGGUUAGUGAAGUGACGCACGAAUUAGGCCAAAUGAAACAAAGAAGAAAGGAACAAGAACCGAAUGAAGAAUGAAAACAAAAGAGCAAAAGAAGAAGAAAGCGUGCUUCACUGACCAACCAUUACCUUUCUUCAUUCUUUUGUGCUUUUGCUUUCUUUUCUUCAUUCAUCCUCACUAUCCACCUCAUUUCCAGAGAUUCGUGUGUGCUUUCUUCCUUCUUCACAUUUGGCUUAAUUCGUCCCUCAUUUCAUUACAAUUAAGCCAAAUGAGAAGAGAAGA
Molecule: non-coding RNA, 366 nt
Filed under: Symbiodinium sp. CCMP2430
Lineage: Eukaryota; Dinophyceae; Suessiales; Symbiodiniaceae
Source: RNAcentral